Molecule: ribosomal RNA, 423 nt
Filed under: uncultured bacterium
Lineage: Bacteria
Description: bacterial SSU rRNA
Rfam family: Bacterial small subunit ribosomal RNA
Source: RNAcentral
GGAAUUUUCCGCAAUGGGCGAAAGUCUGACGGAGCGACGCCGCGUGGAGGAAGAAGGCUUUCGGGUUGUAAACUCCUGUCAGAGCUUAGGAAACUGCUGACAAAGGGCUCAAAGGAAGCCACAGCUAACUUCGUGCCAGCAGCUGCGGAAAUACGAAGGUGGCGAGCGUUGUUCGGAUUCACUGGGCAUAAAGGGCGUGUAGGCUGCUUGGUAAGCGGUCUGUGAAAGCCCGGGGCUCAACCCCGGAAUUGCAGACCGAACUGCCGGGCUAGAGAGCGAGAGGGGACUGUGGAACUCUAGGUGGAGCGGUGAAAUGCGUAGAUAUCUAGAGGAACACCGGUGGCGAAAGCGACAGUCUGGCUCGUUUCUGACGCUGAGGCGCGAAAGCGUGGGUAGCAAACAGGAUUAGAUACCCCAGUAGUC